Molecule: non-coding RNA, 21 nt
Organism: Caenorhabditis elegans
Lineage: Eukaryota; Metazoa; Nematoda; Chromadorea; Rhabditida; Rhabditidae
Source: Ensembl
UGUAAGGUUGCUCUAGAAAUU